GACGAACGCUGGCGGCGUGCUUAACACAUGCAAGUCGAACGGAAAGGCCCUGCUUUUGUGGGGUGCUCGAGUGGCGAACGGGUGAGUAACACGUGAGUAACCUGCCCUUGACUUUGGGAUAACUUCAGGAAACUGGGGCUAAUACCGGAUAGGAGCUCCUGCUGCAUGGUGGGGGUUGGAAAGUUUCGGCGGUUGGGGAUGGACUCGCGGCUUAUCAGCUUGUUGGUGGGGUAGUGGCUUACCAAGGCUUUGACGGGUAGCCGGCCUGAGAGGGUGAACGGCCACAUUGGGACUGAGAUACGGCCCAGACUCCUACGGGAGGCAGCAGUGGGGAAUAUUGCAGCAUGGGCGGAAGCCUGAUGCAGCAACGCCGCGUGCGGGAUGACGGCCUUCGAGUUGUAAACCGCUUUCGCCUGUGACGAAGCGUGAGUGACGGUAAUGGGUAGAGAAGCACCGGCUAACUACGUG
This 468-nucleotide ribosomal RNA is filed under the name uncultured bacterium. RNAcentral describes it as "partial 16S ribosomal RNA". It matches the Rfam family "Bacterial small subunit ribosomal RNA", at positions 28 to 507 of the family's 1533-position model. The record is from RNAcentral.